ACCAAGACCUGAGCAGUCGAGCACCGCUUUAGAUCAAUGACUCACUGAGUUGAUUCUCUACUGUAGGAGGAGAAGAGGGGGGGUCCUGACGACGAGUGCCAAGAACGUGGUCAGUGUAACGCUGAUAAGGCAAAGGGAAAAGGAGGAUGUGAGGACAAGGGACCAGGGGACAAAGGUCAAGGUCAAGGAUGUGGCCGUGGAGCGGAGAUGAAAAAGGAGCACUGUGGUGGCCGCGGUGGAGGCCCCCCCAAGGACAAAUGAACCAAAUGUCACUGAACGUCAUUGAAUAGAAAUAUCUAAUAAAAUGAACCUGGAAAUAUA
Long non-coding RNA from Cynoglossus semilaevis (tongue sole), 321 nucleotides. RefSeq lists it as uncharacterized. The record is from RefSeq and is a predicted model, not a curated record. Lineage: Eukaryota; Metazoa; Chordata; Actinopteri; Pleuronectiformes; Cynoglossidae. The transcript is spliced from 2 exons.